Molecule: ribosomal RNA, 1313 nt
Filed under: Lime witches'-broom phytoplasma
Lineage: Bacteria; Bacillati; Mycoplasmatota; Mollicutes; Acholeplasmatales; Acholeplasmataceae
Description: bacterial SSU rRNA
Rfam family: Bacterial small subunit ribosomal RNA
Source: RNAcentral
GACGAGGAUAACCAUUGGAAACAGUGGCUAAGACUGGAUAGGAAGAAAUAAGGCAUCUUUUUUCUUUUAAAAGACCUAGUGAUAGGUAUACUUUAGGAGGGGCUUGCGCCAUAUUAGUUAGUUGGUAGGGUAAUGGCCUACCAAGACGAUGAUGUGUAGCUGGACUGAGAGGUUGAACAGCCACAUUGGGACUGAGACACGGCCCAAACUCCUACGGGAGGCAGCAGUAGGGAAUUUUCGGCAAUGGAGGAAACUCUGACCGAGCAACGCCGCGUGAACGACGAAGUACUUUGGUAUGUAAAGUUCUUUUAUCAAGGAAGAAAAGCAAGUGGUGAACCAUUUGUUUGCCGGUACUUGAUGAAUAAGCCCCGGCUAAUUAUGUGCCAGCAGCCGCGGUAAGACAUAAGGGGCAAGUGUUAUCCGGAAUUAUUGGGCGUAAAGGGUGCGUAGGCGGUCUAGUAAGUCAGUGGUGUAAUGGCAACGCUCAACGUUGUCCGGCUAUUGAAACUGCUAAACUUGAGUUAGAUAGAGGCGAGUGGAAUUCCAUGUGUAGCGGUAAAAUGCGUAAAUAUAUGGAGGAACACCAGAGGCGUAGGCGGCUCGCUGGGUCUUAACUGACGCUGAGGCACGAAAGCGUGGGGAGCAAACAGGAUUAGAUACCCUGGUAGUCCACGCCGUAAACGAUGAGUACUAAGUGUCGGGUUAAACCGGUACUGAAGUUAACACAUUAAGUACUCCGCCUGAGUAGUACGUACGCAAGUAUGAAACUUAAAGGAAUUGACGGGACUCCGCACAAGCGGUGGAUCAUGUUGUUUAAUUCGAAGAUACCCGAAAAACCUUACCAGGUCUUGACAUGUUUUUGCGAAACGGUAGUAAUAUCGUGGAGGUUAUCAGAAACACAGGUGGUGCAUGGUUGUCGUCAGCUCGUGUCGUGAGAUGUUAGGUUAAGUCCUAAAACGAGCGAAACCCUUAUCGUUAGUUGCCAGCACGUUAUGGUGGGGACUUUAACGAGACUGCCAGUGAUAAAUUGGAGGAAGGUGAGGAUCACGUCAAAUCAGCAUGCCCCUUAUGACCUGGGCUACAAACGUGAUACAAUGGCUGUUACAAAGGGUAGCUGAAACGCAAGUUCUUGGCCAAUCCCCAAAAACAGUCUCAGUCCGGAUUGAAGUCUGCAACUCGACUUCAUGAAGUUGGAAUCGCUAGUAAUCGCGAAUCAGCAUGUCGCGGUGAAUACGUUCUCGGGGUUUGUACACACCGCCCGUCAAACCACGAAAGUUGGCAAUACCCCAAAACGGUAGCCUAACUCGUUUAUC